UUUGGGGAUCCUACGGGAAACCUCUUGCAAAUUCAUACUCAAUCUUAAGGUUUAAUCUAUAAACAAGUUUUAUAGCCUAGAUCUUAGAGAGUAAUCAAUUUUUAACAAAACCUCCCUUAGAUUUUGUGACCAUUUUUCAACAACUCAUCUUAAUCUAUGAAUCUCAGAUUAUUCAUCAGGGAUUAAAGCUCUUUGGGUGUUUUUGAACAUUUGCACUCAAUCUUUGAGAUUUCUUCAAAACAAGUGAUCAACCAAACAGCCCCUGAUUAUGUGUGUAGUGGCGCACACCACAACUCCAUGGCGCACGCCACUACCUUGAUAGCCAAACAACUUUAAGCUAUUCUUUGGGUUAUGGUCUAGGAAAGCCUGCACGCCACAAGAGAUAUGGCUCAUCACAUAACAGGUGGCGCAUGUGGCUUUAAUCCAGAAGCUCAGAUUUUACUUUUUAAGCAUUUUAAUUCAUCUCUAUGGGACUUUUUUUUAGAUCUAACACUAAGCAUUAUGCUUCUUAUAGUGUUUUUGAUUCAUUUUCGCUCUUAUAAACAAUAAUAACCAAGAAAUGGAUUGUUAUAGUCAUA
Jatropha curcas is the source of this 578-nucleotide long non-coding RNA. RefSeq lists it as uncharacterized. NCBI's taxonomy places the organism in Eukaryota, Viridiplantae, Streptophyta, Magnoliopsida, Malpighiales, Euphorbiaceae. The record is from RefSeq and is a predicted model, not a curated record.